Molecule: long non-coding RNA, 8017 nt
Filed under: Lynx pardinus (Iberian lynx)
Lineage: Eukaryota; Metazoa; Chordata; Mammalia; Carnivora; Felidae
Source: RNAcentral
GGGCUUUUGGCAGAAUUCUGAAUAAACAGCAUACAUCCAUGUGGGAGCAAUGAGGAGGAACUGUAGCAUCUGGUAUGACUUUAAAAAUAACUUCCUACUUAUAUAACUGAGAUUUCACUAAAGAUCAAUGAGAUUUUUCAAGUCUGAGACCUGAGGUUGGAUAGCAUGAAAUAGUUCCUUUGGAAGCUGUUGAUUCAUGUAGCAGUGCUAUUUUGAAAGAAAAACAUUCAUACCCAACAAGCAGAUGUUAACAGACCAUGGCCCUAGAGUCGUAACUCUAGGUUACUGAGAUCCAAGUUUGUGUUCUCAGCUUCAUUUACAAUCAUUAAGAGCCUUUUACUUUUAAUUACUUCUUUAUUGAUCUCAUAGCACACAUUUCUUCUAGUCUGUACAAAAUGUCAGCUUAAGUGGAACAGGCAGGACUGCGUUCACAAUUCACAAUCAAGCUAGCCUGCUUAGCUACAACACACAAUGGUGCCCCUGGUUCAUUGUUUCUGAAUGGCAAUGUUAUUCAUGAUGUUGUAUGCUUCUGAGAUAAAAAUCACUUUACUACUUUAACAGUUAAGCCUUGUGCUGCUUUUGAAAUAUGAUAUUGUAGAACUGUCUUUAGUUUUUCAACUCUGGGGAGCUGUGGAACGUGUUGAAAUCAAAACUUAUUUGUGGGGGCGUCUGGGUGGCUCAGUCGGUUAAGCGUCCGACUUCAGCUCAGGUCACGAUCUCACAGUCCGUGAGUUCGAGCCCCGCAUCGGGCUCUGGGCUGAUGGCUCAGAGCCUGGAGCCUGCUUCCGAUUCUGUGUCUCCCUCUCUCUCUGCCCCUCCCCCAUUCAUGCUCUGUCUCUCUCUGUCCCCAAAAUAAAUAAACGUUUAAAAAAAAAUUAAACAACAACAACAACAACAACAACAAAAAACUUAUUUGUGGCCAAUCCAAAAAAAAAAUUCAUCACAUUAUCUUAUAAACUUUCUUUGGAGGAUGUUUUUCUUCAACAAGAAAUAUGUCCCUAAGUAGAAAGCUCUUCCUGAAGAAUUCUGAGCUUUGCCACAUUAUAGCAAAUGUCUUACUAUCUCUGAUAAUUAAGAGUUUUCUAAAUAUUAGGUCAUAGAUCCCAGUGUGUAAUAAUGGAUGUUAAUCCUAGGUUCUUAUGCAAAACGUUUUUUAGGGGCACGAAUAGGAUUAACAAGUGGGUGCCCUUACUCAUUUCUUGACAAAUUAUAAGCUACUUCCAUGGCUUAUUUCUCCUGUGUUCCCUUUUCCAUUCUCUAUUCCCUAUGGCAUAUAAACCUGCUGCUCCUGUGAAAUGAAUGUGAGGUUCAGGGGAAACUGAAUUAUUGGAACCUAUGUAUAUUUUAACAAGAAAGGUUAGUAAAGGUCUACCUGCACAUACCAUCAAAAAGAAGAAAGAAAAAGAAGGCUGCAGGGAUUCCCAUCCCAUCUUUAUGGUCUGUCAUUCUGUCAAUUGGUCAUUAGCAGUAAAUUUUGCUCUUAUGGUUGUUUUUAAUAAUUCUUGUCUCUUUUGAGUUCUAGGAAAAUAAUUUGUGUAUCCUAAUAUUUCUUUGAAUUAUAUAAAUUUUAGUCAUUCCUCUACCCAAAGAAUCAAAUUACUGUGCUAAUAAAAACAGACUGCAUUUACUGAGACCACAGACUCUAUCUACUAUCUUGUGUUAUAAGAAACACUGCUGCUUUCCUAAAAUCAGAUUAAAUGUAAUAAAGAAUUUUUUUUUCAUGGGAAGGAAAUAGACCUUAAAAUUUUUAGAUAUGCAUUAUCAAUGCAGAAAAGAACAGGGAAAAGAAUCAAGGAAAACCUUUUGAUAAAAUACUGACAGGAGUAAACUUUAAAAACUUACACCUCUUUUAUUUUUUUAUUUUUAUUUUUAUUAAAAAAAAUUUUUUUAACGUUUAUUUAUUUUUGAGACAGAGAGAGACAGAGCAUGAACGGGGGAGGGGCAGAGAGAGAGGGAGACACAGAAUCUGAAGCGAGCUCCAGGCUCUGAGCCAUCAGCCCAGAGCCUGACGCAGGGCUCGAACUCACGGACCGCGAGAUCGUGACCUGAGCCGAAGUCGGACGCUUAACCGACUGAGCCACCCAGGCGCCUCUUACACCUCUUUUAGAUAUGUAUGCAUAUAUAAUUAUAUUUAGAUAUAAAUUCAAAUAUUUCAAUAAAAUUCAAAUAAUACCGGUUUGCUUUUUGGUCAUUUAUUAUAACCCUAAUGUGUGCACAGAACUCUGCUGGAGGAGCACAGAGUUAAAUCUGUGGGCCCACCAUGUGACAUUCAAGCCAGUGCCAAAAUUUAUGCAUUCUCCAAGUGACUAGCUGUGCAAAGUAUUUUUUGAUUUGGCAGAUUCCCUCCAAGUUCUCUUAGAACCUCGAUAAUAGCUAAAUGAUGGCAUAUAUCUCUUAGCCAUCUAUGAUGCUGACUCUGAAGUUAUUGUAAUGCAAACUAACUACUAGGAAAGGACUUGCAAUAACCUUGUCAUUAAAUUGCAUAUGAGAAAUGAAAUUCUCCAUGCUGACCCAAUCCCAAUCUUUGUACGGCCUUCUCUUUACUAAGUGGAUUGACUUCUUGCUCCAUCCUUUUAAUCAUUAUCUGCUCUAAAAGCAGCCCUCUCAGCCUUCCAAAGCAAUCUUCUACAUUCCCAAUGUAUGUAAGGCCUCCUGGGUUAUUUUGAAUCUGUUGCUUCCAUUUGUGCCUUUAUGGAGUGAAGAACUGGAGACACAGUGAAUUCCUUUUUUGUACCUUAUUGUUUGUAUAUUUUCUGUUUCUGUUGAAAAUUUGCCAUCCCAUCAAGUAAAAUGCAAUACAGUUUACAAAGACAAACCAAACCCACUAUAUUCACAUUUGGUCAUUUCUUUCUGAGUAUUUCUUCCAUCCUUCAAUUUGUAACAGUGUAUUUUGGUUGAGUCAGUGCUGAGACUCAUCAAUGCUGUUUGUAUGUGGUUUGACAAACUUUCUCCAGUACCUAUUCCAGAAGUAAUUUUUGUUUUUUCUUUGUGCUCUGCACAGGCAAAAUCUUUUUAACUGUCAUUGAAUUCUUGGGGAUGCUAUUGGCCACUAGAGAGAAAUAUUCCUUUGUGUAAAGAAAUGAUCUGUCAGGGUAGGCUAGACUCAUCAGCAAGCCCUUGUAGUGUUCAAUCCAUCACAUCCAGAAGGUUAGCAGGACCUGUAUGUAUUGGCAAGGAGGGGAAGGCAAAAAUGUGAAAGAACUGUGUUAUGGGGUCUUGAGUCUUUGUGUUUCUGUGCUAAAAAUAAACUAGGUGAGGAUCUCCAGGAAUGACUGAUAUAGUGAAAGGAGAUGCUUUCAAGUAGUGCUUUCAAAACUUCAGCAAGCAUGAGAAUUACCUGGAGAGCUUGUGAAAACAGAAUUCUGAGACUCUGAUGCUGUGAGUUUAGGGUAUGGCCAGAAAUUUUGAAUUUUAAUAAGCUCUCAGUUCAUCUGAUGCUGUAGGUCUAAGGACCACACUUUGAGCAAUUCUGUUCUAAAGCAGUGAUUCUUAAAUUUUACUGAGCAUCAGAAUCAACUAAGGUUUUUGUCUUUUCUCUGACUGACUUAUUUCACUUACUGUAAUACUCUCAAACUCCAUCCACAUCAUUGCAAAUGGCAAGGUUUCAUUCUUUUUUAUGACUAAUAUUCCAUUAUAUAUAUAUACAUAUAUAUAUGUAUGCAUAUAUAUAUGUAUAUAUAUGUAUGUAUGUAUGUAUGUAUGUAUAUACACACACCAUAUCUUUUUUAUCCAUUCAUCAGUCGAUGGACAUUUGGGCUCUUUCGAUAAUUGGCUAUUGUUGCUCCUAGUAAUGCUCCUGUAAAUAUUGGAUGCAUGUGUCCCUUUGAAUCAGUAUUUUUGUAUCCUUUGGGUAAAUACCUAGUAGUUAAAUUGCUGGAUCAUAGGGUAGUUCUCUUUUUUAACUUUUUGAGGGGCCUCCAUAUUGUUUUCCAGAGUAGCUACACCAGUUUACAUUCCCACCAACAGUGUAAGAGGGUAAGAGGAUUCCUCUUUCUCUGCAUCUUUGCCAAAACCUGUUGUUUCCUGUGUUGUUAAUUUUAGUCAUUCUGGUUUGUGUGAGGUGAUAUCUCAUUGUAGUUUUGAUGAAUUCAUUCACAUGUGGAAUUUAAGAACAAAGCAGGUGAACAUAGGAGAAAAAAGAGAGGCAAACCAGGAAACAGACCCUUAACUACAGAGAACAAACUAAGGGUUACUGGAGGGGAGGUGGUAGAGGGGAUGGGUUAAAUGAGUGAUGACUGUUAAGGAGGGCACUUGUGAUGAGCAGUGGGCAUUGUUUGUAAGUGAUGAGUCACUGAAUUCUACACCUGAAAUUAAUAUUAUACUGUAUGUUAACUAACUGGAAUUUAAAUAAAAACUUGAAGAAAAAAAUCAACUAAGGUUUAUUAAAAUGUAUAUUGCUGGGUCCUGCUCCCAGGGAUUCUGACUCAGUAGCCUGGGUGUCGGCCAAAGAAUGUGCAUUUCUAACAAGUUCCCUGGUCAUGCUGAUGCUGCUGGUGCCAGAUAACACUUUGAGAACCAUUGCUGUAAAGAAUGGAGGUUAAGGUGAGUCACCAGCACUGUGUAGGGAGUCCAUGGAGUCUAUUGGUAGGGGCUAUGAGGCAUAGCCAAUCUGCAGACAGACUGAGGUACUCUAAGCAGCAGCAAUGACAUUAAGGUCCUAGCAGUCCACAGGAUUAUUGGAGACCUUUGGAAACGUUGCAUUUUGCUCAAACCAAAUUUUAUUUGAAUCUCAAAGAGCAAGAUAACUUCACCUGAAACUUGGCUUUAAAAAUUUAGAAUAGAAAAAAUACUGUUCUAGGCAUGAUUCAUUAUAUGUAAGAAAAUCAUUACAUUCAUUAUUUGUAAGAAAAGGCAUAGGAAGAUUAGAGGCUGAGUGAGAAGCUUUCUUUACCAGAGUAGGUGACUAAACUGCUGUGCUGGGGACAAACUCUUACCUCACUUAGGCCUUUAUGAGGAAAGGAAAAGAAAGAAAGCAUUUGGUUGUGACAUUUUAAUGAGUACUUACAGUUAAAACAACCUAAAAGAACCCUAUCUUCCUUAUUUUUGAAGUGGAAUACUCACCUUUUUUUACCAAAAUGUAGAGACUGAAGUAUUUUCAGCAUCUCAGGAGAGUUAUUCUCAUAAUACUUCAAAGUAAAUCUGUUAGUAGUAAUCUAUUCACACAUUUCAGUUCAAUCUCAGAAAUGAAUGUCCCUAAGGGAACACUGUAUUCAAAUCCUCCACUGGAAUAAAACCUCUCUGUGUGAGAGGGAUAUUCUCAACAGGAGGCUGGGAAUCAAUGCAUCAUGAGAAAGCUUGAUUAGAAUAACAUGGUUGAUAGAAUUAAUGUGAUUCUAGUCACGGUAGAAUCAAGUGCCACACAUCCUCCUGAUAUUCUCUUGUGGCUUCUUAGGUGAGUCUUUCUUCCUCCCCAACUCCCUUUCCUCCCAUGCUGAAAAUUCUAGCCAACCUUGUGGAUGAAAAUAUAUGGGUUUCCUUAGGGAUGCUGGGGAAGAGAAAAGGUAAUUAAACAUUGGAUUUGAGCCUGGUGUAUUAUGAUUACAGUCACAGAUUUUAUCCACUGAGGGUUUUUAUGAAGUCAGACUCUAUCUUUCCCUUAGGCCAUGUUUUUCCUCUUGUGGGAAUCUUGGGGAGACUGAAAUGGUUGAGCACAAAUUGUUACUCCUUGCUGGAAAUAACUCAAAUUGCAUAUAUGCUUUAUCAACUACAAGUAAAUUAGGUCAUCUUCCUAUACAUGAAGAAAACACUUAUCUUCAUCAGUAGUAGCUUAUAGAAGAAGACAAUCACAACUGACCUUAUCUGUGAAAAUCCUUUAGGAUAUAGAAAAGACAUGCCAACAGUAGCUGAAAUAUGUUUACUUGAAGUCAAAAUUUCUUUCCCAAAUGUGGGCCUCUUCCUGCUAAGUCAGGAUUUGGAGUUUGGGAAAAUAGAAAGCUAAUAUCCUGCUUCUCAAACCAUGCCCAGAGAUGGUCACCUGAAUCAAGUACAUCACUAUUAAAGUGAUGGCAGUCCCACCUUUUGGUUCAUUAUUCUUUUGGAAGACAGUGAAUUUGAAAAACAUCACACUGAACUUCUUUUUAAUGACCAAAAAUGAAGAAGAUAAAUUUAGAUAAAUAUCAAGCAUCAGUCAGUGAAAAGAAGAUAGAGCAGUACCGAAUAAAAGUGAUAUGAUUUGCAUUGAAAACAGAGUUCAGCUCAACUCAACAAAUACAGUGAAUGUAUAUUACAUUCCAGGUACUGGUGCUACAAAAAUGAAUAAAACAUUGUUUCUGUUUUCAGUUAAUCCCAGUUAAGGGGCUGAGGGAACUGAUAUAAACAAAUAAAAUAUGCAGAAACAAGAGGUAGAAUGUAGUAGCAGAUAAUGGAUGUAGACAUUGAAGCUAGAUAGGCUUUGAUUAUUUACAGUCCCAGGUCUUGCUUUAAUUUUGUGGCUUUAAAUAGACUCUUUUACUUUUCCUAAAAAAUCUUUGUUUUAUCAUCUCUGGAGCAAAAUAGGCAUUCAAUAAAUGGGAACUAAUAAUAAUUAGAACUAUGUAUUGGUACAGACGUAAUAUAGCAGAGAGAAUGAUUUUGAGGGUCUGACCACGAAUGGCUUCAAUGUGGAGACUGUACUCCAAAAUGUUUUGAUACAUGAAUAGGAAUUUUCCAGGUAGAUAAUAUUUGUCAGUGGACUCGAGAUAGAGGAGAUAAUACUUCCAAAAGCAUAUGAGGUGGGAACUGCAAAAUAAGUUUAAUAUCAAUAUUAAACUUAAUUUUAUCAGUUAAAUGAAUGCUGUUGCAUUCACUAUUUAUAGAAAGCAACUAGAGCUGGGACCAGAGAGGAGACAGAGGCCAGUUCUUCCUCACAGCCUGGGCUCUGAUAAGAAGUUUGAUGACUUGAUCCUUUAGGUCAGAGAUUGAAGAUGUGCUUUUCUGUAAUUUUUUUUUCUGUUUCAGUUUUGUAUUUUUUGAUUAUGUCACUCAACAUUUAAAUAUAGAGAUAUUUCACUAAAAACCUCAGCUUUUUUCUGACUUAUCUUGGAAAUUUACCACGAGGACUCUGCAUUUGCUCAUUACAACAGCUGGUUGUGGCUGAGCGGAGGCUGCCCCCCUCAAGGGGCAUAUUCAGUCCUAAUGAGAAAUGAGGAAACUUGGAGAUUUUAAGUAGGUUGGUCAUGUGGCAGGAUAUGUCAUAGAACUGUCCUUGUUCUGCAGUUGAGGUAGAGGAGACUAGCACUUGAGAAGGUGUGACUGAACAUCACACCUUCCAGGGCUAGGUUAAUGGAAGAAGAACUUAUAAUGCUAUUCAGUUUGGUAGGAAGAUGUUUCUUUUUUUUUUUAAAGCAAAAUGAGGAUAAACAUUACUCUAGGAGAGGGGAUAUGAAUGCCCUAUAUAGACUUGGUGACUAUUAUGGGCUAGAGAAUAACCCUUGUAGAAUAAGAUCUCUGAUUUUCUUUAAGAGAUACCUCUUAAGAAAAACAAAAUAAAAAUAAAAUUAAGGUGCAAUGUAAAAUAGUCACUCCCAAAGUCCUCUCUCACCUCUUCUCAAAACUGGAAACUCCCCUUUUCCCCUUAACCAGCAGUGGAAGUGAAUAGAGAGAGAAUGUCUAGGACCGAUGCACAACUCACAACCAGCAACCCUCAUCAUACAACUUGGAGACCAUAAAGAUUUCCGAGACCUAAAAAGAGGCCAGAAGCCUGAUAACUGUUGGGUAAAAGUCCACUGUCUAAGAAGGGAGGGGGAAGUAGUAAAAACUCCAAGCACAGGGGAGUCAAGAAGAGGACAGCACAAGGAAGAGAGAGGAAGGGGUCCAUGAGGAGUCACUCUGCCAUUGGAGGGAACAUCCACGUGGAGACAUGCUGAAGUCUAGGAAGGGACCUUCAAGGAUGGUAAUUCAAUAAACUAGGGAUACAAAGCUAUCCCAUGUCUGCCCUGGCCCCACCUUCCCACUCAACACAAUUUGCAUUUUUAUCCUCUGAAACUUAAGUAAAGACCUGUCUAGAUCCUUGCUGUGCCAUGUAUUUAGGUUCACCAGU